Molecule: long non-coding RNA, 641 nt
Filed under: Homo sapiens (human)
Lineage: Eukaryota; Metazoa; Chordata; Mammalia; Primates; Hominidae
Description: HSALNT0345672
Source: RNAcentral
AAUCACUCAGAAGACCAGACAUCAACUCAGACUUGUUCUCUCAGUCUGUGGCCUGGGAUCUACUUCUGAGUUUUGUGGAGUUUCUUUUUAUCCCUGUACAAGACCAGGGCCAGCCACUAAAGAGCUGCAGGAGUCCGGGGAAGUCACUUCCCUUCCUCUCUAAACUUCACGUUUCUCUCUCCUGAAAACAGGAAGUGGCAUUAAAUGAGCUCUCAGAGGCCUCCCAGCAGUGACCCAGAAUGAGGUUGUUAGGAAAAUCCACUACAUGAAGAUGUGCAGUCUCUGGCUGGGAGCAGGACACCAGCUGCCCAACAGCACAGGCUCAGGGCAUGGCACUGUCUCCACUGUCCCCAUCCCCAACCUGGAAGCUAGAGCCUCGCUGCCCUGCCACUUCUGGAUGCAGGACAGAGAACCGGAACUGGGACUGUGGUCUCUCAGUAGAGGCUGUGAACAGCCAUCUGUGGCCACACGGAUUGAGACCUUUCCUGCUCACUCUUCAAACUGGGGCACCGGCUGGGUGCCCAACAGAAAGACAAUUGGAAGAGUGGCAGGUAAACCAGGCUGUGGCCCUGCAGUGCCAUCACCGUCCUCAUUUGAAUUCUGGCUCGUCUGUUCCUCUACGGCCCCUCCGCAUGGCGCUC